CCGCCUUGAAGAAACUGUAGCUAACCACCUUAUUAGUAUUCUUGCCUCCACCGUGUCUCACUUGCAGCAUCAGAGGGCUGAGCGAAAUGCAGUGGAACAGGGACAGACAGAGCUCUGGCAAUCAUCUCUAUGCAGCCUGCCGAGUGUUGGGGGUGGGGGAUGCAGCACAUCAAGAUUAAUAACCUUGCCAUAAUCCGGGGCACCCUGCAAGCAGACACCUCUGCUGACUGACCGUGCCGGGCUCGCUGAACCAGCCUUGGGGGAGAGGGAUCCGGAAAUCUACCUAGUCCUGGGGGCCCCCCCGAUGUUGGAUGUUCUUUUGAUCCUACACCGAUCUGGGAAGGUAACAGGGAGCCCUGCCAUCUGCAGCACACAGAAGCUAUUGGAGAAGAAGGAGAGACGCGCAAGACAAGCUAAAGGAUUCUAACAUUUCCUUGGUGAACUUUGAGGGUCCACACAGAAGCUAUUAAAGGGCUCAGUCAUAUCUACCCAACUCAACUUUCAUAGACACGUAUAUUAUAAUGAUGAUGAGGAGGAUCUUAGCCAUACAGAUCGUAAGAAAAAUGAAUCGAGCCAGCAGACAAAAAGACCUAGAUCAAAUGACCCAAGAGAUGGACUUCUACCCUUUCUAGAGAAGCAAUUUUUCUAUGUUACAGUUUACACGUGUCGUUACAUUUUUACCCCGAUUUAUACCCAGCUUUUUACCGUUUCUAAUUCCACUUAACUUUCCUAUGUUAUUCCUUGAUACUUACACCACAAAAUAUUGACAGCCUGUCUUCACUUAGGCAAGCAGUGCACAUAUAGCUUCCUUAAGCUCACCUGAUCAAAGCCUGGUCAUCACGUAAUGAAGAUACACAGCACUCCUCUAGGGGAAGAGCAAGAAGCUUUUCAAAAAAAUGUCAAG
Molecule: long non-coding RNA, 904 nt
Organism: Hipposideros armiger (great roundleaf bat)
Lineage: Eukaryota; Metazoa; Chordata; Mammalia; Chiroptera; Hipposideridae
Exons: 6
Source: RefSeq, a predicted model, not a curated record